Molecule: ribosomal RNA, 469 nt
Filed under: uncultured bacterium
Lineage: Bacteria
Description: partial 16S ribosomal RNA
Rfam family: Bacterial small subunit ribosomal RNA
Source: RNAcentral
GACGAACGCUGGCGGCGUGCUUAACACAUGCAAGUCGAACGGAAAGGCCCUGCUUGCAGGGUGCUCGAGUGGCGAACGGGUGAGUAACACGUGGGUGAUCUGCCCCUUAUUUUGGGAUAAGCCUGGGAAACUGGGUCUAAUACUGGAUAGGACCAUGCUGUAGGUGGUGUGGUGGAAAGAUUAGUUUCGGUAAGGGAUGAGCUCGCGGCCUAUCAGCUUGUUGGUGGGGUAAUGGCCUACCAAGGCGUCGACGGGUAGCCGGCCUGAGAGGGUGGACGGCCACAUUGGGACUGAGAUACGGCCCAGACUCCUACGGGAGGCAGCAGUGGGGAAUAUUGCACAAUGGGCGCAAGCCUGAUGCAGCGACGCCGCGUGGGGGAUGACGGCCUUCGGGUUGUAAACUCCUUUCAGCCGUGACGAAGCCCUUGUGGUGACGGUAGUGGUAGAAGAAGCACCGGCUAACUACGUG